ACGGGAGGCAGCAGUGAGGAAUAUUGGUCAAUGGGCGGAAGCCUGAACCAGCCAUGUCGCGUGCAGGACUACGGCCCUACGGGUCUUAAACUGCUUUUGCAAGGGGAUAAAGUGGGGCACGCGUGCCCCUUUGCAGGUACCUUGCGAAUAAGGAUCGGCUAACUCCGUGCCAGCAGCCGCGGUAAUACGGAGGAUCCGAGCGUUAUCCGGAUUUAUUGGGUUUAAAGGGUGCGUAGGCGGGCUGUUAAGUCAGCGGUGAAACCCCCGGGCUCAACCCGGGGACUGCCAUUGAAACUGGCGGCCUUGAGUACGUUGGGAGUGCGCGGAAUGUGUGGUGUAGCGGUGAAAUGCAUAGAUAUGUCACAGAACACCGAUUGCGAAGGCAGCCGGCCAAUCCGCAACUGACGCUCAUGCACGAAAGCGUGGGGAUCGAACAGGAUUAGAUACCCUGGUA
This 454-nucleotide ribosomal RNA is filed under the name uncultured Porphyromonadaceae bacterium. RNAcentral's name for it is "partial 16S ribosomal RNA". It matches the Rfam family "Bacterial small subunit ribosomal RNA", at positions 341 to 792 of the family's 1533-position model. The record is from RNAcentral. Lineage: Bacteria; Pseudomonadati; Bacteroidota; Bacteroidia; Bacteroidales; Porphyromonadaceae.